Molecule: ribosomal RNA, 404 nt
Filed under: uncultured Blautia sp.
Lineage: Bacteria; Bacillati; Bacillota; Clostridia; Lachnospirales; Lachnospiraceae
Description: bacterial SSU rRNA
Rfam family: Bacterial small subunit ribosomal RNA
Source: RNAcentral
GGGGAAGUAUUGCACAAUGGGGGAAAGCCCUGAUGCAGCGACGCCGCGUGAAGGAAGAAGUAUCUCGGUAUGUAAACUUCUAUCAGCAGGGAAGAAAAUGACGGUACCUGACUAAGAAGCCCCGGCUAACUACGUGCCAGCAGCCGCGGUAAUACGUAGGGGGCAAGCGUUAUCCGGAUUUACUGGGUGUAAAGGGAGCGUAGACGGAGCAGCAAGUCUGAUGUGAAAGGCAGGGGCUCAACCCCUGGACUGCAUUGGAAACUGUUGAUCUUGAGUACCGGAGGGGUAAGCGGAAUUCCUAGUGUAGCGGUGAAAUGCGUAGAUAUUAGGAGGAACACCAGUGGCGAAGGCGGCUUUACUGGACGGUAACUGACGUUGAGGCUCGAAAGCGUGGGGAGCAAACA